ACACAUGCAAGUCGAGGGGCAGCAUAAUGGAUAGCAAUAUCUAUGGUGGCGACCGGCGCACGGGUGCGUAACGCGUAUGCAACCUACCUUUAACAGGGGGAUAACACUGAGAAAUUGGUACUAAUACCCCAUAAUAUCAUAGAAGGCAUCUUUUAUGGUUGAAAAUUCCGAUGGUUAGAGAUGGGCAUGCGUUGUAUUAGCUAGUUGGUGGGGUAACGGCUCACCAAGGCGACGAUACAUAGGGGGACUGAGAGGUUAACCCCCCACACUGGUACUGAGACACGGACCAGACUCCUACGGGAGGCAGCAGUGAGGAAUAUUGGUCAAUGGACGCAAGUCUGAACCAGCCAUGCCGCGUGCAGGAUGACGGCUCUAUGAGUUGUAAACUGCUUUUGUACGAGGGUAAACGCAGAUACGUGUAUCUGUCUGAAAGUAUCGUACGAAUAAGGAUCGGCUAACUCCGUGCCAGCAGCCGCGGUAAUACGGAGGAUUCAAGCGUUAUCCGGAUUUAUUGGGUUUAAAGGGUGCGUAGGCGGUUUGAUAAGUUAGAGGUGAAAUUUCGGGGCUCAACCCUGAACGUGCCUCUAAUACUGUUGAGCUAGAGAGUAGUUGCGGUAGGCGGAAUGUAUGGUGUAGCGGUGAAAUGCUUAGAGAUCAUACAGAACACCGAUUGCGAAGGCAGCUUACCAAACUAUAUCUGACGUUGAGGCACGAAAGCGUGGGGAGCAAACAGGAUUAGAUACCCUGGUAGUCCACGCAGUAAACGAUGAUAACUCGUUGUCGGCGAUACACAGUCGGUGACUAAGCGAAAGCGAUAAGUUAUCCACCUGGGGAGUACGUUCGCAAGAAUGAAACUCAAAGG
Molecule: ribosomal RNA, 862 nt
Filed under: uncultured bacterium
Lineage: Bacteria
Description: bacterial SSU rRNA
Rfam family: Bacterial small subunit ribosomal RNA
Source: RNAcentral